RNAcentral lists this ribosomal RNA (957 nucleotides) under bacterium. Its description in RNAcentral is "bacterial SSU rRNA". It matches the Rfam family "Bacterial small subunit ribosomal RNA", at positions 547 to 1478 of the family's 1533-position model. The record is from RNAcentral.
UAAAUUGGGGCGGUAAAAGCGGUGCGCAUGGCCGGUUUUUGUUAAGAUCUGUUCGGGAAAAAGACCCCGGGGACUCAAACCCGGAGAACUUGCGAAGGGAGAACUGGCAAGCACAUGAAAUCGGGCUGAAGGGGGGGUAGAAUUCCACGUGUAGCAGUGAAAUGCGUAGAGAUGUGGAGGAACACCGAUGGGCGAAGGGCAGCCCCCCUGGGUCAAGAUUGACAACUCAUGACACGAAAAGAGUGAGGAGCAUACAGGAUUAGAUACCCUGGUAGUCCACGCCAUAAAACGUUGUCUACUAGUUGUCGGGUUUUAAUUAAACUUGGUAACGCAGCUAACGCGUGAAGUAGACCGCCUGGGGAGUACGGUCACAAGAUUAAAACUCAAAGGAAUUGACGGGGACCCGCACAAGCGGUGGAUGAUGUGGAUUAAUUCGAUACAACGCGAAAAACCUUACCUACCCUUGACAUGGAAGGAAUCCGGAAGAGAUAUGGGAGUGCCCGAAAGGGAACCAUCACACAGGUGCUGCAUGGCUGUCGUCAGCUCGUGUCGUGAGAUGUUGGGUUAAGUCCCGCAACGAGCGCAACCCUUGUCAUUAGUUGGUACGCAAGAGCACUCUAAUGAGACUGCCGGUGACAAACCGGAGGAAGGUGGGGAUGACGUCAAGUCCUCAUGGCCCUUAUGGGUAGGGCUUCACACGUCAUACAAUGGUACAUACAGAGGGCCGCCAACCCGCGAGGGGGAGCUAAUCCCAGAAAGUGUAUCGUAGUCCGGAUUGUAGUCUGCAACUAGACUACAUGAAGUUGGAAUCGAUAGUAAUCGCGGAUCAGCAUGCCGCGGUGAAUACGUUCCCGGGUCUUGUACACACCGCCCGUCACACCAUGGGAGCGGGUUUUACCAGAAGUAGGUAGCUAAACAGCAAGGAAAGUGCUUACACACGUUCGAUACGUGAAAAAU